UACAAUUAGAUGUAUAAUGCAUAAAGAAUUUUGAAUUCUUUUGAUUUGGUUUAAUUCCAAAAAUUGUAU
RNAcentral lists this transfer RNA (69 nucleotides) under Youtuus erythrus. Its description in RNAcentral is "tRNA-Gln". Lineage: Eukaryota; Metazoa; Arthropoda; Insecta; Hemiptera; Caliscelidae. The record is from RNAcentral.